Xenia sp. Carnegie-2017 is the source of this 488-nucleotide long non-coding RNA. RefSeq lists it as uncharacterized. NCBI's taxonomy places the organism in Eukaryota, Metazoa, Cnidaria, Anthozoa, Malacalcyonacea, Xeniidae. The transcript is spliced from 3 exons. The record is from RefSeq and is a predicted model, not a curated record.
AAAGCAGAAAAUAUGUGUAUUGAAGAUUCCAAUUCAGAGUUUUAACGACACCACAAUUUUCGAGACAUUGUCAAUGACUGGGAAGACAAUCUUAUUUUGAACUUCAUAAAACUGAUCUUUAUUUACAAAGUUUAAAUUAAUUGCAUUUGCAAAUUGCUUGGUGGCUUCAUAGGUUCCUCCAGUCAUGAUAGUUGCAGCAGGAAUUAAAAUAUUACCUGCUGGUUUAUUGUGCAAAUAUGGUUGAGACUUCCACUGUUCCUCACCUUCAGAUUCCUCAUCUGUAUCUAGUUCCUCAAGAUAGGUAUAAUCAUCAUCACUAUCUGAUGCAGCAAUAUCAUCACUGCUUCCUAAAGAGAUUUCUGAAUCAGAUGAUAUAAUAGGAGUUGUUAUGAUAGGAGUUGUUGUGUUAGGAGUUGUGGGAGAUGUUACUGGUUUUGGUGUACGACUUGAAGAAACUGCAUUUAAAGAGGGGGCAACAUUUUUUGAAG